ACCUCCACAAUGAUAAAGGGCGGGAAGUGUUGAAUUAAGCGGGCGUCUUUUUUUUGGCUAAACUUUUGAAAAUUAAAUUAAUUUAAUAUUACAGGAUCAGUUAAGUUGUAAAGUGUAUAUAUAUUAGUAGUAUUGAUUAUUUAUAGUUUUAGUUUGUUUUCUUCGCCUGGUAAGUCAUCUUAUUGUAUUAUAUGUAAAUAGUAUUUUUUUCUUGGCCUCCAUGUUGGAGCCCGAAGACCCUGGAGGGACAUCCCUCCAGGUGUCUCAUGUAGUUACAAUAGAUGCUUCGGGAAUGGAAACGGAAGGUUCCAUUAUAGAUACAGACUGUUCGGAAAACAUUAAAUCCGUUAAAAGAAAGAGAAUAUCAACUAGAAACCAAAAAAAGAGAAGGAAUCACAAACAUACAGAUCUACCAGAUUGCCAACUUUCCCCUAAUGAUAUAAAGGAUAAUGUUAUACCUAAAGUACUUGAGUCAGAUGAUAAAAUCACUGAAAUCCAUCAUAAUGAGGUUGCUAACUCUAAAAACAUUACGAGUAACCCUCGCACUGCUAGGCUGCUUUACCAGGCGUCAGACCCUGCGCCUUAUGAUGUACAUAUUCAAAAAAUUUUACAACCUAAUCAAACUGGAUCUAUACAUCCAGUACAAUUUGGAUUCUUUCUAAAAAAAAAUUCAAUAAAAAGCAUUGUAGAGGGAAGCAUAAAAAAAAUUGGAAGGAAUAGGUUGUCAUUUCAAUUUAAAACAUUUCAGGAGGCUAACUCAUUUCUAAAUCACAAAUCUCUUGAUGAUAAUAAAUAUAAAGCUUUUAUUCCGGCCUUCACUAUCACCCGCAUGGGAAUAGUGAGAGGUGUUCCAUGUGACUGGGACGAGAAAGAUGUUAUAGAAAAUAUAGAGCUUCCGCAGAACUGUGGAAGCAUUCUGAAAGUUAGGAGACUAAACAGAAAGGUUUAUGACGGCGAGACACCCAAGUUUGUUCCAACUGAGACCGUAGUUUUGACCUUUGAUGGGAAGGUGUUACCUCCCAGGGUCUUUAUGUGUUUUAACUCCCUACCUGUAGAGCUUUAUAUUUACCCCACGCUGCAAUGCUUUAAUUGCUGCCGUUUUGGUCACACCAAAAUGCAAUGCAGAGGCACUCCAAGGUGUUACAAAUGUGGUGACAAUCAUUCAGGUAUAAGUUGCGAGACGGAAAGAGAUGAUGCUGUGUGUAUUUUAUGUUCUGGUUCCCAUUUCGCAACAGACAAAAAAUGCCCGGAGUAUGCUAGGCAGAAAGCUAUAAAAGAAACAAUGGCUAGAAACUCUAUAUCCUAUUCAGAAGCAAGUAAAGUCUAUCCACCAGUUUCAAAAUCUUAUGCUGACAUUGUUGCUUCUGCUUCAUCAGCCCCUUCGGGUCCAACUAUGACUUAUUCAAGCCCCUAUAAUUUAACAAGCCCUUUUAAGAGUCCGACUCAAUCAUAUAAGAAAACAGUAUUCUUGAAACCCAAAGCUCGUCCCAGAAAUUCUAGUAAGGGAUAUGAUCAAAAAGCGCAUGCAGAGCUUAUCCAAGAUUACAGCAACAUUCCUUCCUUUUCUACAGGUUGUCUCAAAAAUUACAAUGAUUUGUCAGAAAUAAUAACAAAGGAUCUCAUCAUUUCUAUAAUUCAGUACCUUUCACAAUCGAACAUAAUUAAAAUACCGUCCAACGAUGCCGUUUCUUCAAAAACUUUUUUAACUAAUGGACAGUCAGGACCAUCCACGAAACCAGUCUCUGGUGAUUCAAUGGAAUUGCCGGAGUAUUAAUAGUAAAAAAAGUGACUUAAUUUUUUUAUUGAAUAGUUACAAACCAUUUGCAGUCUCUCUUCAAGAGACUUGGCUUCGUCCUGGAUUCAAUUUUAGAAUUCCAGGACAUGUCUGUCUUAGAGAAGACAGAACAGAUGGGUAUGGUGGAGUGGCACUAAUUCUUAGGGGAGGUGUGCCCUUUGUCCACUUACCCAUCCCUAAUCACAGUGAUAAAUUUUCUAUUAUUGCUGCUAGUGUAAAUAAUAUCUGUUUUGUAAAUAUGUAUAUACCUCACCCUUCCAAUGAAGUCUUUGACGAUAUUCGUAGCAUCCUAUCUUCCCUCCCGCGCCCUAUUUUGGUUAUGGGAGAUUUCAAUGCACAACAUUCUAUGUGGGGAAGUUCUAAGUCUGAUCAUUAUGGGGCUAGAAUCUUAGACAUCUUAGAUGAUAAUAAUUUAUGUCUUUUAAACUCUGGUUGUCCUACUAGAAGAACACAGCCCCAUGAGGGUAUUAGUGCACCAGAUCUUACCCUUUGUAGUCCCUCACUUGCUCCUACAUUAAACUGGUGGCCUCUAUCGUCUUCAUAUGGAAGCGAUCACUUUCCACUAAUGGUAUCAUUUCCUCAAAAAAUUUGUGAAAAGACAUCAAAGGCCCCUCCCCGGCUAAAAUAUAGACUUAAGGAUGCCAACUGGUCAUUAUUUGGAGAUAAAGUUCAACAAAAUUUAUCAACCAUACCUCCACUAAAUGACAGCAGUAAUCAUCUUUGUGCUGAAGCUUUUACACGGGCCCUACUACAAGCUGCUGAGGAAGUUUUUCAUAUAAAAAACAAUAGUGGAAAUGGGUAUAUUCCAUCACCUCCUUGGUGGGACAGUGAGUGUUCUGCUGCGAUAGCUGAGAGAAAGAUAGCUGAAGAAAAUUACAGAGAAAAUUCUACAACACAAAAUUUUAAUAUUCUUAGUAAUCUUAUAACUAAAACUCGUAAAUUAUUAAAACAAAAAAGAUUCAAUAGCUGGAAAUCUUUUUGUGCCUCAAUUUCACCAGAAAUUUCUCCAUCUCAAGUUUGGCAAAAUAUUCGUAGAUUCAGAUCCGCUUUCAAACCUCCAAGGUCUCCUUUCAUGGAUAGUAGUACAGUUGAUUUGUUUCUUGACAAAUUAGCUCCACCAUUUGUCCCGUCUAUAGAUAAUAUUUCUUCUGACUCACAGCCUUCUCUCCUCUCCCAGCAUGAUAGUAGCGAUUCAUUCAUUUCCUUUAGCCUUUCAGAACUCAAAGGGGUUCUUUCAAGGCUUAGGGACUCAGCCCCGGGUUGUGAUGGAAUUCCAUAUUCUUUUCUUCAAAACCUGAACGACUCCUGCCUUUCUUAUUUUCUCAGUUUAAUUAAUUCAAUCUUAACAUCAGGUAAUAUUCCUCCAUCAUGGAAAAUCCAUGAAGUUAUCCCAAUACAUAAGCCCAACAAACCCAUUAAUGAUCCAUCAUCAUACAGACCAAUUGCAUUAGCUUCAGUGAUUUCCAAAAUUUGCGAACAUCUAGUUAAAAAUAGACUAGAAUGGUUUAUUGAGAGUAAAGGGUUACUAUCUCCUAACCAGUUUGGAUUUAGGAAAGGUAGGAGUACGAUGGAUAGUCUCAGCAUUUUUAUGACAGACAUAAGAUUGGCAUUUUCAUACAAUAAGUCUGUGUUAGCAGCAUUCUUAGAUGUGUCUGCAGCCUAUGAUAAUGUCAACCUUUCGGUUCUGAAACAAAAAAUGAUUAAUUUGAAUAUCCCACAAAUUUUCAUAAGUUUCAUAAUCAAUCUUCUCUCUGGUAGAAUGCUUAAAGUAAUAUCAGAAGACUCUUAUCAAUCCCGUAUUGUCUGGAAAGGUUUACCCCAGGGCUCCGUUUUAAGUCCCUUACUUUACAAUAUAUAUUCUCAUGAUCUGGAAGCCUCCCUUAGGGGUAAAGUUAACACACUCCAAUAUGCAGAUGAUUUACUCCUCUAUGUCUCUGGUGAUUCUAUUGACAACAUGUCUGAUACUGUCACAUAUUCUCUUAAGUUGCUAAAAGUUUGGCUUGACAAUAACUCUCUAAGCCUUUCAGUUCCUAAAAGUAUUAUAGUCUUAUUUUCACGUAUGAGGCUUCCUCCAUCAGUGUCUGUAUUUUAUAAUAACAUUAGAGUUCCUGUUAAAAGUGAAGCAACAUUUCUUGGGGUAAUUUUAGACUCAAGACUUACAGGAAGCCCUCAUUGCUACUAUAUAAGUGAUAAAUGUGAGAAGAUUCUAAAUAUAUUGCGUUGCCUCUCUGGAGUUUGGUGGGGAGCCCACCCUUUCUCUCUAAAGCUUUUGUAUAAUGCCCUAAUAAGGAGUAUUUUGGACUAUGGAACAUUUAUACUUGAACCCUGUAAUGCAGUAGCUCUCCAUAAGUUAGACAUUAUCCAGUCUAAGGCUCUGAGAAUAAUUGCUGGGGCUAUGCGUUCGAGCCCUAUUAACGCUUUGCAGGUCGAAUGUUCUGAAGCCCCCCUGCACCUCAGACGACAAUUUCUUUGUGACCGGUUUCUAUUUAGAGCAUUCCAAGUUUAUAAUCAUCCUCUUUACACUAAGUUACGGUCUCUGCUGGAAUGUAUGGAUUAUCCGUACUGGGCUCAUAAAUCGCCGCCAUGCCUUAUUGUUAGUCUCCAAAAGUACUUAGCUCUUCAAGCUCCUACACAUAGAUCACAAUUCCUUCCAAUAUUUUGUGUUAACUAUGAUGCCCUAACUUUAAAUCCAUCUAUUAUGUUUGAUUUCGGCCUAAGUAAACAAGAUCUUUCUAUCAAUGCCAAAUUUGUUGAUAUUAUUGACAGUGACAGCCGAUGGAAAAAUUGUCAUUUAAUUUUUAGCGAUUCCUCCAAACCCGGUCCCGAGGAGUGUGUGGGGGUCGGCAUUUUCCAUCAACAGUUUGGCAUUGUUCAGAAAAUAAAAUUGCCUCCAGAGACUUCAGUAUUUACUGGAGAAUGUUUUGGUCUUCUGAAGUCUCUGGAGUACAUUUUAAUGAUGAAGCUUAAAAAGUCAAUAAUUUUAACUGACGCUAAAAGUGCCCUCCAAGCCUUGGAACGUUUUCCUUUUAACAGUAACCGAAAUAAUCAUCCUGUGAUUAUUGCAUGUCGUGAUUUAUUGUAUCAAUGUUGCAUCAAAAAUUACACAGUUUCCUUUGCUUGGAUUCCGGGGCACUCGGGUAUCUUUGGCAAUGCCAAGGCCGAUAGCCUUGCCAAAGCUGCGGUCAAUGAUGGAGAUUUGGUUCCGUACAAAAACUUUUGUUGUGAUUUAGCUCUGCUUCCUAAAUUCCAGUUAUUGAAUUCUUGGACUCACAUUUGGCGUUCUUCAAGACAGACUAAAGGUCGAUAUUACAGCACGAUCCAAGUGGAUAUACCUCCUAAACCGUGGUUUUCAAAUCUGACGUUUGGUAAAGCUAUCACAUCGACCCUUAUUCGCAUGAGGCUGGGCCAUGCAUGCAUUCCCUUGCAUUUGGCAAGGCUUAACCUUUUGCCUAGCGAUAUAUGUGAGUGUGGCAAUGACGUUGGGGAUUUUAAUCAUAUAUUCUUUGCCUGUCCUCGAAAUGACCGUUCCGCUUUUAUUUCCUCACUUUUGUCCAUUAAAAUUCCUUUUCCUACUUCAAUUUCUAUCCUUUUAUCUAAUAUCAAUAUUGAUGUAUAUAGAAUAUUAGCUAGUUUCAUUUUUCAUAAUAAUAUAAAAUUGUAACCAUUUAUGUACUUAGUUUAUAUAAUAUAUAUACCUGAUCCUUUUUCCAAAUUCCGUUCCAAAUUCAAAUCCAAAAAAUAAAUCCAUUAACACACUUCCUAACCUUUUUGCGUGGCUGACGCACAAACCGUGCAGGCCAAGAAAUGGGAGAAAAAAAAAAAAAAAAACCUCCACAAUAUAAAUACCUAAAACAAUAAUUUACAAUUACAAAAAAACGGCCGCUAAAUAAGAAAACAUCUAUAAACCAGUAGUCAUCUCACACGACAACAAAUAUUCUGUCAAAAACAUUGAAACGAGAACAAGUUUCCUUUGUUUAGUAAUGGUUUUUUCCACAUUAUUUGUAUAUUUUCCUCAAUCCUACGAUGCAACCACUCAUUUCUGUUGAUCACGAGUUCAGGCAGAAUAAUUCACACAGGGCCGAUAGUUCAGACAUAAGACAAUCUGAAGAGACUCCACUCUUGCACACAUUCCCUCGAGAGACGUCGCCUGAGGAAAACAACUGGACUAGCUUAACCGUGAGCUUGCUGCUGGUGAUACUAAUAUCUGGUAUUAUAAUAGGCGUUUAUCUUCUGAUAAUACAAAGCGAUUCUGAGAAUGUCCUGCCUCCGGUCGAAAUGCCACUGCAAUUCGUCAGCAGACUUCAAUGGGAUACCUUACGCAAACGACCGGUCCUGUCGUCGUCUUCUUUCAGAGCGAAAUCUGUAGUGGCAGUUCAAACCGAUUCAAUACUCUGCUGGGCCACUGAGUCCUGUUUUGAUUUGCUACAACAUAUGCAGGAAAACGACACAAGCAACAAUACGAUGGCCUAUAAUUUUCUUAUAUCGUCGAACGGUCAAACCUAUGAAUCGCUUGGGUGGCACGUUCCAUCACCUAUGUUCCCCAAGUAUUCUAACUCAAGCCUAGUCUUCGGUUUCAUUGGGAAUUUCACAGAUAUGGCACCAUCGAGCUAUCAAAUCGACGGAGCAGAAAAGCUUUUAGCCGUUUCGGUGAGCCAGCAAUACUUAGAACCAAACUAUGUACUUGUUGGAAGAAAAACGAAAGAGAGACCCGUUUAUUUAUUUUCAAUCCUGAAAAAAUUUCCGCAAUGGGACGAGGAUAAUUCUGAUUGAAUAAUAAAUACAACAUUCAAAUUUCAUUAUAUUGCUCGUUUGAUCUUUAAUACCAAAGUUUUAUAAUACUGGAUUUAGUAUAAAUAUUCGAAUUUAGUUAUAGAAAGCUAUCGUUUUAAUGUAGUCAUACAAUAUGUUAAGAUUUUAAAUACAUAAAAUGGCGUGUGUUCGUAAAUAAAACACUAGAGCUUUAUAACAUGUUUAGAGAAAAAUAUUAUAUGAAAUAAAUUGUAAUUAAUGCAUACCUAGUCAGGUCAUACAUUCUGUCACAUGUUUAAUGUAAAAUAAUUGAAACAAGUUUAUUCAUUAUGUAACCAUUCAUAUACCAAAAUGAACUUAACAAAACAUAGAUUCUUAUGACACUAAAGUUUUUUAAAAAGGACCUCCGUGAUUUUGAAUACAGGCCUUCAAUCUGCGCGGCCAGUCGUCUAUCGCAGCACGAACGAGGUCCAUGUCAAUAUCGGCGGCUGCCUUAAUCAAGGGUGUCUUGAGUGACUCCAAAUUGGGAUGAGGCUUUGAGCACGCCUUUUCCUCCAAGUGUUGCCAUAUCUUGUAAUCUAACGGAUUCAAAUCUGGACUGGAGGAGGGCCAGUCUUCGUGCCGGAUGAAGUCGAUUUCACGCGCCGCCAGCCAGUCUUGUGUGCUCUUCGCUCUAUGAGCUGGCGCCGAAUCUUGUUGGAAUACCCAGUGCCUGUUAUUGAACAUGGUAUGAGAAACAGGUUCCACAAGAUUCGUCAGGACUGUAUUUUGAUACACAACUGCAUUCGUUUUUACACCUUUCUCACAAAAAUGUACCUCUGUUAAGCCCCAAUAAGAAACUCCCAACCAUACCAUGAGCGAGGAUGGAAAAUGACCUCGUUGGACACGCGGAAUACGGUUGCUCGCUUCUUCAUUACUGUGUGCGUACACCUUAUCAUUUUGUUUGUUGUAGCUCUCUUCUACGGUAAAAAUUUUUUCAUCCGAAAAAAGAAUUUCCCGAUAUUUUUUUCCCGCGUACCGUUUCAACAAAGCGCGGCAUCUCUUCAGUCUCAGGUCCAUUAGACGAGCAUUCAAACGAUGUCCUGUUUUUCUUCGAUAUGCCCGAAGCCCUAAGUUUUCAUUUAACACCCUUUUCAACGUGGUUCUGCUUAACCCCAUCUGAAGGGCCAACAGUUUCUGCUUACGUUUGGGAUUUCUUUGAAUUCGCGCCUUCACAGCUUUUAUCACUGCCGGAGUCCUAACAGACCGAGGGCGACCACUUCUUGACCUGUCAUCUACACUAGAGUCUUCAUUGUAUCGUUUGAUGGUACGAUAAACGAAUCUUUUCGUUAUAUUCAAAUUUUUCAGUAUGUUAAAAAUUUUAAUUGGCGCGUAACCGCAACGAUGCAACGCAAUAACUGCAACGCGGUCUUCUUUAAGCGUCCACUCCAUAUUUAAAAAUGAGUAAAAUUCUAAAAAUAUACAUUUUUAUUUUCAUGAACAAUUCGAAAUUCGAAUUCAAUAAACUUUUUUGUGGCCAGCAUUCUAAAAGAAAAGUUUUUACUGUGUGACAAUACUUAUGACCUGACUAGUUAUAAUGGACCUCUUUCAGAACUGUUCAAUAGCGGCAAAUUGACUUAACGUAAAACAGACUUAACUAAACUAGUGAUGAGAAAUAAUAUGGAGAUUUUAAGACUACAUAGUCUUUAAGUUGUUAACUAUACAGUUCUGAAUGUGGUAGAAUUGAUGAAAUCGCAUAAUUUAAGUAGUGUUAAAUACUCUUUAUUUAUCUUCAAGUCGAAUAUAUUUUUAAGUUUUACCUAAUUAUGUAUACCGUUGAUAUAAUAUACAUUAAAAACUUUUUUGUUUGUACAAUAAAACUAAAAGCUAAGUAUAAAUUAAAACACGAAUCGGAAAUAAUAUUUUUUUUAAUUUGUCUUAGAUUUUAUUGAUGUGUAUGUUCUUUUUUAAAGUUUUUGGUGAGCUGUUCUGCUAACUGGUUUCUAUUUAAAUUGUUCGAAUAACGCAGUCGUAUUUUGAAUCUACAAUAAUUUUAUUCGAACAUUUUGAAUUGGAAACGGUGAUUCGAACACAACAGUUAUAGCCUGUCGAAGUUUUUGUGUGACAAGAUCGUAUCAGAUUUGAAUUGCUAAUAACAGCGAUAUCGGUACUGCGUGGGUAAUGAUUUAGCUUACAACGGAUGUAUUAUGUCCACACGUGUUUGUUACUACCUCUACUAUCGUCGUACCAACGCAAACGCAUUUUAAAAAUUGUUACGUAGGCGGAAUGAACUGCCGCGUUCCGGGUAAUAAGAUGUCUAUCUAGGACUAGGACUAGUUUUUGAAUUGUGAUAAACGUUUUUAAUAAAUUUUAUAAUCUAUAAAUAUAAAUAAAUUUAAUAUUGAAAAUGGACAGUAAUUUGAGUAAUCAAUUCGUAGAUGUGUUCGGAAUUAAGUAAAAGCGAUCACUCGCAAACAUUACAAAAAGCGAAGUUUGCGGAAUAAACAUCAAAUUUUUUUUUUUUUUUUUUUAUGAUGAUGAAUGGUUCAUUAUAGAUAAAGAUAAUUGAGCGAAAUGAGCGAACGUUGGAUCGUGUAAAAUAAGUAGAAAUGCUUUUGUGGAAUGCAUAAUAAUUAAGUAGGUACAUAAUAAAAUGUUUUUUUUUUUUUUAAUGAAAUAUCAAUGUAUUUUAUUAAUAGAGAAGCAAUAUUAAUUAAUAAUAAAAAAAAAUUAAAAUAAUUGAGCGAUCUUCCGUGCAUUUUAAUAUAAGACUAAAUUGUGAUAUUAAGGGAUCGUGUAAUAAUGGAACAGUAGUAAUAAAAAACAUGAAAUCUGUAA
Bombyx mori (domestic silkworm) is the source of this 9361-nucleotide RNA transcript. It is a transcript of the gene named peptidoglycan-recognition protein SB2, with no coding region annotated. The record is from RefSeq and is a predicted model, not a curated record. The transcript is spliced from 5 exons. NCBI's taxonomy places the organism in Eukaryota, Metazoa, Arthropoda, Insecta, Lepidoptera, Bombycidae.